Molecule: ribosomal RNA, 512 nt
Filed under: Escherichia coli
Lineage: Bacteria; Pseudomonadati; Pseudomonadota; Gammaproteobacteria; Enterobacterales; Enterobacteriaceae
Description: partial 23S ribosomal RNA
Rfam family: Bacterial large subunit ribosomal RNA
Source: RNAcentral
UGUGAGCUCGAUGAGUAGGGCGGGACACGUGGUAUCCUGUCUGAAUAUGGGGGGACCAUCCUCCAAGGCUAAAUACUCCUGACUGACCGAUAGUGAACCAGUACCGUGAGGGAAAGGCGAAAAGAACCCCGGCGAGGGGAGUGAAAAAGAACCUGAAACCGUGUACGUACAAGCAGUGGGAGCCUCUUUAUGGGGUGACUGCGUACCUUUUGUAUAAUGGGUCAGCGACUUAUAUUCUGUAGCAAGGUUAACCGAAUAGGGGAGCCGAAGGGAAACCGAGUCUUAACUGGGCGUUAAGUUGCAGGGUAUAGACCCGAAACCCGGUGAUCUAGCCAUGGGCAGGUUGAAGGUUGGGUAACACUAACUGGAGGACCGAACCGACUAAUGUUGAAAAAUUAGCGGAUGACUUGUGGCUGGGGGUGAAAGGCCAAUCAAACCGGGAGAUAGCUGGUUCUCCCCGAAAGCUAUUUAGGUAGCGCCUCGUGAAUUCAUCUCCGGGGGUAGAGCACUGU